This 903-nucleotide ribosomal RNA is filed under the name uncultured bacterium. Its description in RNAcentral is "bacterial SSU rRNA". It matches the Rfam family "Bacterial small subunit ribosomal RNA", at positions 9 to 908 of the family's 1533-position model. The record is from RNAcentral.
GAGUUUGAUCCUGGCUCAGGAUUAACGCUAGCGGCAGGCCUAACACAUGCAAGUCGAGGGGCAGCACGGGGUAGCAAUACUCUGGUGGCGACCGGCGCACGGGUGAGUAACGCGUAUGCAACCUACCUUUAACAGGAAGAUAGCCCCGAGAAAUCGGGAUUAAUACUCCAUAAUGAUUAAGAACUGCAUGGUUUUUAAUUUAAAGUUCCGACGGUUAAAGAUGGGCAUGCGUGACAUUAGUUAGUUGGUGAGGUAACGGCUCACCAAGACCACGAUGUCUAGGGGUUCUGAGAGGAUUAUCCCCCACACUGGUACUGAGACACGGACCAGACUCCUACGGGAGGCAGCAGUGAGGAAUAUUGGUCAAUGGUCGCAAGACUGAACCAGCCAUGCCGCGUGCAGGAUGAAUGUUCUAUGAAUUGUAAACUGCUUUUCUAAGGGAAGAAACCUAUCUACGAGUAGGUAGUUGCCGGUACCUUAGGAAUAAGCAUCGGCUAACUCCGUGCCAGCAGCCGCGGUAAUACGGAGGAUGCAAGCGUUAUCCGGAUUCAUUGGGUUUAAAGGGUGCGUAGGCGGAUAUUUAAGUCAGUGGUGAAAUCUUGCGGCUCAACCGUAACAUUGCCAUUGAUACUGAAUGUCUUGAAUGCAGUUGAGGUAGGCGGAAUGUGUAAUGUAGCGGUGAAAUGCUUAGAUAUUACACAGAACACCGAUUGCGAAGGCAGCUUGCUAAACUGUGAUUGACGCUGAUGCACGAAAGCGUGGGGAUCAAACAGGAUUAGAUACCCUGGUAGUCCACGCUGUAAACGAUGAUUACUCGUUGUUUGCGAUAUAUAGCAAGCGACUGAGCGAAAGCAUUAAGUAAUCCACCUGGGGAGUACGUUCGCAAGAAUGAAACUCAAGGAA